Chelonia mydas (Green sea turtle) is the source of this 1051-nucleotide long non-coding RNA. RefSeq lists it as uncharacterized. The record is from RefSeq and is a predicted model, not a curated record. NCBI's taxonomy places the organism in Eukaryota, Metazoa, Chordata, Testudines, Cheloniidae. The transcript has 3 exons.
UAUCCAGCUAAGUACUUAAUUUGGGGAGUAAAUGCCCUUCGGAGAGGGGGAUGAUUUCUGGAAGAAUCUACUGAUAUCUGGCAAACUUGUAGGUUUAUGACAUCACAGAUACCAAGGGACGGAGCCUUGAUUAAUUUAGAGAUGAAGUGAUUUUCAUUCAAGUUGAUUAAUUUGGAAUUCAUUUUAUGGACUGUUUAACUCUUCACACCAGUCACAGAGCUAGAAGGAAGGAUCUCUUUAAAGAUUCAACACACCUCAUUUUUCAAGGCUAGCUAAGAAAGCUCCUAGUCCAUAUGGCUGAGUUCUUCAACUAACAUCUUCAGCUAAACCAAAGUGACAGGACUAUCUGAAGUGUCAAGAUGUAAGGUCACAUCAGUUUCCUGAUCUUCUGAGAACAAGAUGGUGGUUUCUUAGAAGCACCUAGUACACAUCCAGCGGCUGUUAUCUGGCUUACAAGUAGCAUCUUCUCUCGUGUAAUGGGGGAAUACACAGAAGAUGGAAACUUAUAGUGAAAGAUCCAUGAAGUAUUCACCUGCCCUUCAGAAAUCAUCUCCACCAUCCUUUUUUUAGAAAGAAGGUCUAAGAGGAAGCUGAACAUUAUGCCACUCAGAACAUGCAGUAGAGAUUAGAUAUUCUUUAAGGACAAAGUACUUUUUAUAACCUAUUUGGUGGUGCUAAGUGCUGAAGGCUGGAAUGUUGUUGCCUCGAUAACACUGUCUGGGCUGCUCAGUGCUUCUGUCCUUGGAGCUCCAGUGUUAGCAGAUAAUAGAGCCUGCUGAUUCAGCAGACCUCGUUGUUACUCAAGAAAGACCACAGGCACAGUUAAGUAACAAAGGUGCUCUGCCAAGUUGAUUGCCCUCAAGGCACAUUACUAGCAUCCCGUAGGAACUACUAAUACACUAGCAUAUGAGUGUCCAGUGACCAGGAAUGGCUCAAUGAGAAGUGGGAUUUUCUGCUGUCCCCUCAGCCACACAAAGGGCUAAGGCAAGGUACCCUGACAUUUAUAGACUGAGACAAACAACUGGAAUAAAUAACUUAUGUACCACCUUAA